RNAcentral lists this ribosomal RNA (496 nucleotides) under uncultured bacterium. Its description in RNAcentral is "partial 16S ribosomal RNA". It matches the Rfam family "Bacterial small subunit ribosomal RNA", at positions 28 to 506 of the family's 1533-position model. The record is from RNAcentral.
GAUGAACGCUGGCGGCGUGCCUAAUACAUGCAAGUCGAGCGAACAGAUGAGGAGCUUGCUCCUCUGACGUUAGCGGCGGACGGGUGAGUAACACGUGGAUAACCUACCUAUAAGACUGGGAUAACUUCGGGAAACCGGAGCUAAUACCGGAUAAUAUAUUGAACCGCAUGGUUCAAUAGUGAAAGACGGUUUUGCUGUCACUUAUAGAUGGAUCCGCGCCGCAUUAGCUAGUUGGUAAGGUAACGGCUUACCAAGGCAACGAUGCGUAGCCGACCUGAGAGGGUGAUAGCCCACACUGGAACGGAGACACGGCCCAGACUCCUAGGGGAGGAAGCAGUAGGGAAUCUUCAGCAAUGGGCGAAAGCCUGACGGAGCAACGCGGCGGGAGUGAUGAAGGUCUUCGGAUCGUAAAACUUUGUUAUUAGGGAAGAAAAAAUGUGAAAGUAACUAUGCACGUCUGGACGGUACCUAAUCAGAAAGCAACGGCUAACUACGU